UACGGAGGGUGCGAGCGUUGUCCGGAAUCACUGGGCGUAAAGCGCACGUAGGCGGCUUUUUAAGUCAGAGGUGAAAUCCUGGAGCUCAACUCCAGAACUGCCUUUGAUACUGAGAGGCUUGAGUCCGGGAGAGGUGAGUGGAACUGCGAGUGUAGAGGUGAAAUUCGUAGAUAUUCGCAAGAACACCAGUGGCGAAGGCGGCUCACUGGCCCGGUACUGACGCUGAGGUGCGAAAGCGUGGGGAGCAAACAGG
Molecule: ribosomal RNA, 253 nt
Filed under: uncultured bacterium
Lineage: Bacteria
Description: partial 16S ribosomal RNA
Rfam family: Bacterial small subunit ribosomal RNA
Source: RNAcentral